AUUUCAGCACAAUCUGCCUGUUGAAUGGCUGGAAAAAGGGAAUGAAGAUUCCUCUGGAGAUCAGCAAUCCCUUUGAAUCUACAAAAGACAGUGCCUUUGCCCCACCCAAAUUAAAACUUCAGUUUCCCACUCAACCAUGCUCCAGGACACAGAUUGCCAGGUUUGCCUUACACCUCUCUACAAGGCUGGUGCAAACAGUUCUUUUGCAGAAAGUGUCCUGUGGCUGAAGACUGUGUCUCCAGUGGUGGGAAAGCAUGGCAGAUGGAAGAUUCAUCCACCAUCAUUGUUUUGUUAUCCUGGGCUUGGAGCGUACCUUGGAAGAUCGAAAAAAAAUGUCUUGAAACAUAACUCCAGUGUUUGGGCUAUAUAAACAGUGGCAAGACCAAUUAUCUCAAUGUCAUUCAGGUGGAGACAUGCAAAUC
Non-coding RNA from Zonotrichia albicollis (white-throated sparrow), 422 nucleotides. The record is from RefSeq and is a predicted model, not a curated record. Lineage: Eukaryota; Metazoa; Chordata; Aves; Passeriformes; Passerellidae.